AUUAAAAAGAAUAAAACCCUAUUUAUAGGGUUAUGAAUAACAAUAAUAGGAAAUAACUAUAAAAGGAAAAUAAUUCUACACUAAAAGGAAAAAUAUAAUAGAUAUUAUUCUCAAAAAUAUCUUUCUAACUUUAAUACCCUCCCCUCAAACUCAAUAUGGUAUAGAAUAUUGAGUUUGAAGAAAUCGAUCCAAUCAAAUCUUCCAAAUUGAUGUAGAAUGAACUCCAAGCACUUGAGAUCUUUGUCAUUGUUUAUAGAGAUAAGUGGCUUCUUGUUUGACUGGAAGAAAAUAUUUGAUGGAC
This 301-nucleotide long non-coding RNA is filed under the name Olea europaea subsp. europaea. The record is from RNAcentral. Lineage: Eukaryota; Viridiplantae; Streptophyta; Magnoliopsida; Lamiales; Oleaceae.